ACGCUCGACACCUACGGGAGGCAGCAGUGGGGAAUAUUGCACAAUGGGGGAAACCCUGAUGCAGCGACGCCGCGUGAGUGAAGAAGUAAUUCGUUAUGUAAAGCUCUAUCAGCAGGGAAGAAAGUGACGGUACCUGAGUAAGAAGCCCCGGCUAACUACGUGCCAACAGCCGCGGUAAUCUGAGCGGGCUGGCAAGGC
This 198-nucleotide ribosomal RNA is filed under the name uncultured bacterium. RNAcentral describes it as "partial 16S ribosomal RNA". It matches the Rfam family "Bacterial small subunit ribosomal RNA", at positions 328 to 539 of the family's 1533-position model. The record is from RNAcentral.